GUGCCUUCGGGAACUCUGAGACAGGUGCUGCAUGGCUGUCGUCAGCUCGUGUUGUGAAAUGUUGGGUUAAGUCCCGCAACGAGCGCAACCCUUAUCCUUGUUUGCCAGCGAGUAAUGUCGGGAACUCCAGGGAGACUGCCGGUGAUAAACCGGAGGAAGGUGGGGACGACGUCAAGUCAUCAUGGCCCUUACGAGUAGGGCUACACACGUGCUACAAUGGCGCAUACAGAGGGCGGCCAACUUGCGAAAGUGAGCGAAUCCCAAAAAGUGCGUCGUAGUCCGGAUUGGAGUCUGCAACUCGACUCCAUGAAGUCGGAAUCGCUAGUAAUCGUGGAUCAGAAUGCCACGGUGAAUACGUUCCCGGGCCUUGUACACACCGCCCGUCACACCAUGGGAGUGGGCUGCAAAAGAAGUGGGUAGUUUAACCUUCGGGAGGACGCUCACCACUUUGUGGUUCAUGACUGGGGUGAAGUCGUAACAAGGUAGCGCUAGGGGAACCUGGCGCUGGAUCACCUCCUUA
This 520-nucleotide ribosomal RNA is filed under the name Vibrio vulnificus. RNAcentral's name for it is "bacterial SSU rRNA". It matches the Rfam family "Bacterial small subunit ribosomal RNA", at positions 1014 to 1533 of the family's 1533-position model. Lineage: Bacteria; Pseudomonadati; Pseudomonadota; Gammaproteobacteria; Vibrionales; Vibrionaceae. The record is from RNAcentral.